GGGGAAUUUUGGACAAUGGGGGAAACCCUGAUCCAGCCAUUCCGCGUGAGUGAAGAAGGCCUUCGGGUUGUAAAGCUCUUUCAGCAGGAACGAAACGGUCGGCUUUAAUAAAGUCGGCUAAUGACGGUACCUGCAGAAGAAGCACCGGCUAACUACGUGCCAGCAGCCGCGGUAAUACGUAGGGUGCGAGCGUUAAUCGGAAUUACUGGGCGUAAAGCGUGCGCAGGCGGCGACAUAAGACAGAUGUGAAAUCCCCGGGCUCAACCUGGGAACUGCGUUUGUGACUGUGUUGCUAGAGUGUAGCAGAGGGGGGUGGAAUUCCACGUGUAGCAGUGAAAUGCGUAGAGAUGUGGAGGAACACCGAUGGCGAAGGCAGCCCCCUGGGUUAACACUGACGCUCAUGCACGAAAGCGUGGGGAGCAAAC
This 425-nucleotide ribosomal RNA is filed under the name uncultured bacterium. RNAcentral's name for it is "bacterial SSU rRNA". It matches the Rfam family "Bacterial small subunit ribosomal RNA", at positions 356 to 773 of the family's 1533-position model. The record is from RNAcentral.